Molecule: ribosomal RNA, 490 nt
Filed under: uncultured bacterium
Lineage: Bacteria
Description: partial 16S ribosomal RNA
Rfam family: Bacterial small subunit ribosomal RNA
Source: RNAcentral
AUUGAACGCUGGCGGCAGGCCCAACACAUGCAAGUCGAACGGUAACAGGAAGCAGCUUGCUGCUUUGCUGACGAGUGGCGGACGGGUGAGUAAUGUCUGGGAAACUGCCUGAUGGAGGGGGAUAACUACUGGAAACGGUAGCUAAUACCGCAUAACGUCGCAAGACCAAAGAGGGGGACCUUCGGGCCUCUUGCCAUCGGAUGUGCCCAGAUGGGAUUAGCUAGUAGGUGGGGUAACGGCUCACCUAGGCGACGAUCCCUAGCUGGUCUGAGAGGAUGACGAGCCACACUGGAACUGAGACACGGUCCAGACUCCUACGGGAGGCAGCAGUGGUGAAUAUUGCACAAUGGGCGCAAGCCUGAUGCAGCCAUGCCGCGUGUAUGAAGAAGGCCUGCGGGUUGUAAAGUACUUUCAGCGGGGAGGAAGGGAGUAAAAUUAAUACCUUCGCUCAUUGACGGUACCCGCAGAAGAAGCACCGGCUAACUCCGUG